GCCGGGGUGGCUCAGUCAGUUAAGCGUCUGACUUCAGCGCAGGUCAUGAUCUCACAGUUUGUGGGUUCAAGCCCCACCUCAGGCU
Molecule: transfer RNA, 85 nt
Filed under: Felis catus (domestic cat)
Lineage: Eukaryota; Metazoa; Chordata; Mammalia; Carnivora; Felidae
Rfam family: tRNA
About the family: Transfer RNA (tRNA) molecules are approximately 80 nucleotides in length. Their secondary structure includes four short double-helical elements and three loops (D, anti-codon, and T loops).
Source: Rfam by way of RNAcentral